RNAcentral lists this transfer RNA (72 nucleotides) under Phrynosoma platyrhinos (Desert horned lizard). RNAcentral's name for it is "tRNA-OTHER". It matches the Rfam family "tRNA". From Rfam's summary of the family: Transfer RNA (tRNA) molecules are approximately 80 nucleotides in length. The record is from RNAcentral. Lineage: Eukaryota; Metazoa; Chordata; Lepidosauria; Squamata; Phrynosomatidae.
GCCAGUGUGGUGUAGUGGUCUGAGUGUUGGACUACCACUCUAGAGACCAGGGUUUGAAUCCCAGCUCUGCCA